RNAcentral lists this ribosomal RNA (448 nucleotides) under uncultured bacterium. Its description in RNAcentral is "SSU rRNA". It matches the Rfam family "Bacterial small subunit ribosomal RNA", at positions 26 to 518 of the family's 1533-position model. The record is from RNAcentral.
AGAACGAACGCUGGCGGCAGGCUUAACACAUGCAAGUCGAACGCGUGUAGCAAUACACGAGUGGCGCACGGGUGAGUAACGCGUGGAUAUCUGCCUUUUGGUUCGGAAUAACCCCGGGAAACUGGGGCUAAUACCGGAUGGUUCCUACGGGAUAAAGAUUUAUCGCCAAAAGAUGAGUCCGCGUCCGAUUAGCUAGUUGGUAGGGUAAUGGCCUACCAAGGCGACGAUCGGUAGCUGGUCUGAGAGGACGAUCAGCCACACUGGGACUGAGACACGGCCCAGACUCCUACGGGAGGCAGCAGUGGGGAAUAUUGGACAAUGGGGGCAACCCUGAUCCAGCCAUGCCGCGUGAGUGAUGAAGGCCUUCGGGUUGUAAAGCUCUUUUGGCGGGGACGAUGAUGACGGUACCCGCAGAAUAAGCCCCGGCUAACUUCGCGCCAGCAGCCGC